Molecule: long non-coding RNA, 960 nt
Organism: Zophobas morio
Lineage: Eukaryota; Metazoa; Arthropoda; Insecta; Coleoptera; Tenebrionidae
Exons: 4
Source: RefSeq, a predicted model, not a curated record
CUUUGUUUAAGUCGUGGUGUGAAUAGGACAAAAAAGUAAAAACCGAAGAAUUGCGAUGUACAUGUACAUGUAGUCAAUAGUCAUCUGCAUUCUGCAUGUAGGGCGGUAGGGUAAUCCGGUGAUUAUACAUCAUAGUUUAGAAGUGAUUUAGAAUACUGGUUCUACGUUAAUGUAAAUAUGUGGUGAAUAUUGUGCUUUGGAUUUGGAAAACAAGAUUAACACUAUUGACCAUUAACAAUUAGAAAUGUCAGAGUCGCACAUUGACGUAAAAUGCUAUUUCACGAAAUUUACUGCAAUUUCAUCAAGGUGCAAAAUAUGUAGCAAUGUUUACAAGCAUCAUAACAAUACUACAAAUUUACGAAACCACCUGAAACGUAAACAUUCAGAAUUUUUAAAUAUGGGAUUGGCACAAAACAAGAGUCAAAAACGUCUAAAAGUGAUAAAUAACAAAGGUUCAAAAGAGGAUCAAGAUCAGACCCAGACUACUACAUCGUCACUACAGAAUGAUGUUUCUACAUCAUCACUACACAAUGAUGUCGAAAAGAGCGAGACAAAUUUAUCAGAAGCAACAACAGUAACUCUCUGUGAUCUUACUGAUCUUAGUGAAAUAGAUGCAUUGCCCAGUUUCGAAAAAUCUACCCUUAAGUUCAAACAAAAUGACAUAGUAUCAGCUUUCGAUGAAAUAAAUUCAUUUUCAGGUGGAAGAAUGAAUGCUAAAAUAACCAAUGCUUUGAUUUAUAUGAUCACAGUUGAUCACCUUCCCUUAUCUUUCACAGAACGUAAAGGAUUUCAAUAUUUCAAAAAGGUCGCUUUACCACUAUAUAAGGCUCCAGGGCGUUCUACAAUUACAAGACAAGUUGAUGAAAAAUAUACAGUUUUAAGUUCCAAAAUUAAAGACAAAUUCAAGUUGGUGGAUAAUUUUUGUCUAACAACUGACGCAUGGACUGAUAGUUUGAAUAA